UACAGAGGGUGCAAGCGUUGUUCGGAAUUAUUGGGCGUAAAGGGCGCGUAGGCGGUUCGGCAAGUCUCUAGUGAAAUCUCUGGGCUCAACUCAGAGUCUGCUGGGGAAACUGCCGGGCUUGAGUGUGGGAGAGGAGAGUGGAAUUCCCGGUGUAGCGGUGAAAUGCGUAGAUAUCGUGGAGAACACCCGUGGCGAAGGCGGGCUUCUGGCUAAUUACUGACGCUGAGGUGCGAAAGCUAGGGGAGCGAACGGG
This 253-nucleotide ribosomal RNA is filed under the name uncultured bacterium. RNAcentral describes it as "partial 16S ribosomal RNA". It matches the Rfam family "Bacterial small subunit ribosomal RNA", at positions 524 to 776 of the family's 1533-position model. The record is from RNAcentral.